UUUUUCAAAUAGACUAAAUAACAUCUAACCAAAUACAAACAAUCUUCUUUCAUUUAAUCCUACCACAACAAACCAAACUAGCAAAUUGAUUAGCAUGAUGAAGAGGGCAUUUGGUAAAGCAUCACUAAUAUCAACCCAAUCAAGAAUUUUGGACCAUACCUGACUAAAGAAUGAACACUAAAACAAUAAGUGAUUUAUAUUCUCCUCAAAACCACAACCACCAUACAAAGUAAUUUAUCAAUUGCAAUAGUGUUCAUGGAUGCUAGAUUAUCCUUGGAAGACAUUCGAUUAUUAAGCAAGUGUCAAGCAAAAACAUAAAUUUUUC
Molecule: long non-coding RNA, 325 nt
Filed under: Cicer arietinum (chickpea)
Lineage: Eukaryota; Viridiplantae; Streptophyta; Magnoliopsida; Fabales; Fabaceae
Description: long non-coding RNA (CARI_LNC002272)
Source: RNAcentral